This 774-nucleotide ribosomal RNA is filed under the name uncultured Neocallimastigales. RNAcentral describes it as "partial large subunit ribosomal RNA". It matches the Rfam family "Eukaryotic large subunit ribosomal RNA", at positions 24 to 645 of the family's 3401-position model. Lineage: Eukaryota; Fungi; Neocallimastigomycota; Neocallimastigomycetes; Neocallimastigales. The record is from RNAcentral.
UAUGUGAUCGUCUCUCGCAUAUCAAUAAGCGGAGGAAAAGAAACUAACAAGGAUUCCCCUAGUAACGGCGAGUGAAGCGGGAAGAGCUCAAAUUUGAAAUCUUAAAGGGUUUCCCUUUACGAAUUGUAGUUUAAAGAAGUGUUUUCUGUUGAGGUUUUGGUAAAAGUUCUUUAGAAUAGGACAUCAUAGAGGGUGAGAAUCCCGUAUUUGACCUUUACUUUCAACUUUGUGAUACACUUUCAAAGAGUCGGAUUGUUUGGGAAUGCAGUCCAAAGUGGGUGGUAAAUUUCAUCUAAAGCUAAAUAUUGGCGAGAGACCGAUAGCGAACAAGUACCGUGAGGGAAAGAUGAAAAGAACUUUGAAAAGAGAGUUAAACAGUACGUGAAAUUGUCAAAAGGGAAGCGUUUGACACCAGUGUUGUUUUUCUGAAAAUCAAUUAAAGAACUGUUUAUGCUAAGUUGUUUAGACUUUAUCAGCUAACUGUUUAGUUUUGAGCUUUUCUUUAAUGCACUUUUCAGUUAACAAGUCAACAUCAAUUUCUUUUGCUGUAAAAAAGCUUGAGGAAGGUGGCUUGAGAUUCGUCUUAAGUGUUUAUAGCCUCUUGCCUAUGCAGUCGGAGAGAUUGAGGUCUGCAGCGUAGAUCCUUCGGGGCUAAAUGCAUUUGUGCUAAGUUAUAGCAUUUUAUAGACAACUUGUUGACUAUGAUUUGUCUUGUAGCUUACUCGCUUAUGUUAUUUUACCUACGCUUAGGAUGUUGAAGUCAUCGUAUCGCGC